Molecule: ribosomal RNA, 460 nt
Filed under: uncultured bacterium
Lineage: Bacteria
Description: partial 16S ribosomal RNA
Rfam family: Bacterial small subunit ribosomal RNA
Source: RNAcentral
CCUACGGGAGGCAGCAGUGAGGAAUAUUGGUCAAUGGGCGCAAGCCUGAACCAGCCAAGUCGCGUGAGGGAUGACGGUCCUAUGGAUUGUAAACCUCUUUUGUCGGGGAGCAAGGCCCGCCACGUGUGGCGGGAAGGAGAGUACCCGAAGAAAAAGCAUCGGCUAACUCCGUGCCAGCAGCCGCGGUAAUACGGAGGAUGCGAGCGUUAUCCGGAUUUAUUGGGUUUAAAGGGUGCGUAGGCGGAAGGUUAAGUCAGCGGUAAAAUGUCGGUGCUCAACACCGGCCUGCCGUUGAAACUGGUCUUCUUGAGUGAGCGAGAAGUAUGCGGAAUGCGUGGUGUAGCGGUGAAAUGCAUAGAUAUAACGCAGAACUCCGAUUGCGAAGGCAGCAUACCGGCGCUCAACUGACGCUGAGGCACGAAAGCGUGGGGAUCGAACAGGAUUAGAUACCCCAGUAGUC